GAUGAACGCUGGCGGCGUGCCUAAUACAUGCAAGUCGAGCGAACAGACGAGGAGCUUGCUCCUCUGACGUUAGCGGCGGACGGGUGAGUAACACGUGGAUAACCUACCUAUAAGACUGGGAUAACUUCGGGAAACCGGAGCUAAUACCGGAUAAUAUAUUGAACCGCAUGGUUCAAUAGUGAAAGACGGUUUUGCUGUCACUUAUAGAUGGAUCCGCGCCGCAUUAGCUAGUUGGUAAGGUAACGGCUUAGCAAGGCAACGAUGCGUAGCCGACCUGAGAGGGUGAUCGGCCACACUGGAACUGAGACACGGUCCAGACUCCUACGGGAGGCAGCAGUAGGGAAUCUUCCGCAAUGGGCGAAAGCCUGACGGAGCAACGCCGCGUGAGUGAUGAAGGUCUUCGGAUCGUAAAACUCUGUUAUUAGGGAAGAACAAAUGUGUAAGUAACUAUGCACGUCUGGACGGUACCUAAUCAGAAAGCCACGGCUAACUACGU
Molecule: ribosomal RNA, 496 nt
Filed under: uncultured bacterium
Lineage: Bacteria
Description: partial 16S ribosomal RNA
Rfam family: Bacterial small subunit ribosomal RNA
Source: RNAcentral